Myotis daubentonii (Daubenton's bat) is the source of this 567-nucleotide long non-coding RNA. RefSeq lists it as uncharacterized. Lineage: Eukaryota; Metazoa; Chordata; Mammalia; Chiroptera; Vespertilionidae. The record is from RefSeq and is a predicted model, not a curated record.
UAAAUUGUUGCUAUGUCAUCUCUUCUGUUUUUCUAGUACCAUCUGCUUCCGGUAUGUCUACUGGCAAGCUGCUUUUGCUACAAAAAGAACUUUGCAGACUUAUUUUUUUUUUAAAACACAACUCUUUUAUAUGAUUGUUAUGGAAACAGCAUGUCAUAUACUCAUCAAUGAAAAGGGAAAACCAGGUUUCACACCUAAAACAGUACCUGUGAAUGGAUGAAGGAUGAGUUAGUGUGUCUCUGUGCUAUCUUUGACUAAUCGACUCAAAAAGAGUUUUUCUGUAUUUUUGUGGAAAGAUGACCCUCACUGUCAGACAUCAGCAGAUUAGUUUCUGUUGCAAAAGGUGACUGGAUAAACAGAUGAUGGUAUACCCAUACAAUAGAAAACCGCUCAGCAGUAAAGAGGAAUGAACUAUAUAGUCCUGUGGUGUGGCUCAGUGAGCAACAAUCCAUGAACCAAAAGGUCACUGGUUCAAUUCCUGGUCAGAGUACAUGCCUGGGUUGCAGGCUCAAUUCCCGGUGUGUGUGUGUGUGGAGGAAGCAGCUCUUCAUUGAUGUUUCUGUCUUU